UAGGCACUACAACAAAUUCAUGAUUUAACGACAUUUACUCCACAGUAUUUAUUUAAAUCAUACUAAUUAAUAUAUUUAACAGCAUUACUUGAUAAUUACCGCUAGAUUUAAUAAUUUAGCAGCAAUUUACUAUUAAUGUUGCAAAAUAGAAUAUAUUAGCAGCAUAAAUUAGUAAACGCCGCUAAAGUUUUCAGUAUUUUAUAAAAAAUGAUACUAAAUGUAACAAAGUAGCAGCGUUUAUUGCUAAAUGUCAUCACUAAUCAAUAUAUAAUUAUUAAUAUAUCUCAUUUUAUACUUAGAAUUUAAAAUUUUGAAAUUAAACUUUAAAAAUUUAGAAUUUGAAUUUUAAAAAUUUGAAACUUAUAAAUUAAAAAAUUUUAAACUUAUAAUUUAAAAUUUAAAAUUUUAAAAUUUUAUAUUUUAAAUUUUAAAUUCUAAAAUUUUAAUUUUAAAUUUUAAGUUUUUUAAAUUUAUCUUAAAUUUAAAUUUUUAAAUUUAAAAUUGUGAAUUUUGAAACUUAAAAUUUGAUAUUUAAAAAUUAAAAAUGUAAAUUUAAUAUCUAAAUUUAGAAUUUAAAAUUUAAAAUUUUAAUGUUUUAAAAUUUAAA
Molecule: long non-coding RNA, 607 nt
Filed under: Ananas comosus (pineapple)
Lineage: Eukaryota; Viridiplantae; Streptophyta; Magnoliopsida; Poales; Bromeliaceae
Description: long non-coding RNA (ACOM_LNC031338)
Source: RNAcentral